This 468-nucleotide ribosomal RNA is filed under the name uncultured bacterium. Its description in RNAcentral is "partial 16S ribosomal RNA". It matches the Rfam family "Bacterial small subunit ribosomal RNA", at positions 28 to 507 of the family's 1533-position model. The record is from RNAcentral.
GACGAACGCUGGCGGCGUGCUUAACACAUGCAAGUCGAACGGAAAGGCCCUGCUUUUGUUGGGUGCUCGAGUGGCGAACGGGUGAGUAACACGUGAGUAACCUGCCCUUGACUUUGGGAUAACUUCAGGAAACUGGGGCUAAUACCGGAUAGGAGCUCCUGCUGCAUGGUGGGUGUUGGAAAGUUUCGGCGGUUGGGGAUGGACUCGCGGCUUAUCAGCUUGUUGGUGGGGUAGUGGCUUACCAAGGCUUUGACGGGUAGCCGGACUGAGAGGGUGACCGGCCACAUUGGGACUGAGAUACGGCCCAGACUCCUACGGGAGGAAGCAGUGGGGAAUAUUGCAAAAUGGGCGGAAGCCUGAUGCAGCAACGCCGCGUGCGGGAUGACGGCCUUCGGGUUGUAAACCGCUUUCGCCUGUGACGAAGCGUGAGUGACGGUAAUGGGUAAAGAAGCACCGGCUAACUACGUG